AGAAAAAUAAUUAAAAUUUCCUUAUUACAACCCAAAACCAAACAAUAAUAUUAAUAAGAUAAAACUUAUAAAGAAAUAAAUCGACUACUUAUUGCAAUUAAAAGAAACAGAAACAGUAGUGUGGCCAUCUCCGAGUCCCUCGCAGCUCCAAACCAUCUAAGCUUAGGGAUUACCUGCACAGUUAAAAACGGGGUGAGUUUACGAAAACUUAGUGUGUAAUCUCAAUAACAAACAAACAGUGAAAAUACAAUAUCAGUACAAUCUGGGCCAAAGCCCUAUUUAGUCUUGACAUAUACUGGGCCGAAGCCUUUCGUUUAACGGUUACUGGGCCGAAGCCUUUUCAUAAAUCAUAUCAUUGGGCUGAAGCUUUUUCAUAAAUCAUUUCACUGGGCCGAAGCCUUUACUGUAAACGGUAUGGCCCAUAAGCCCAUUUCAAUAUCACAUGUAAUGUCAAUGGAUGUAUGCAAGCCCUUUUCAAUAUCAUAUGAAAUACCAAUGAAUGUAUGCAAGCCCAUUUGGGGAUACUACUCGACCCACCAUCCACUACUCUCCACCCGUACCAACCAACACACCAUGCGGGGAAUGAUUCAACCCACCCAACCAACACACCACUGGCAGCAUAGCUUCUUUAUCAUAUAUCUGGAGGCCUAGCCUCUUUUAAUAACUGGGGCAAAGCCCUUUUCGGUAAACUGGGGCAAAGCCCUUUUCAAUAAACUGGGGCAUAAGCCCUUUUCGGUAAACUGGGGCAUAAGCCCUUUUCAAUAAACUGGGGCAUAAGCCCUUUUGCACUUCCUCCAUCCAUAUAAAAACCCAACCCAAUGCAACAUGUCAUGUAUGCAGAAUGCCAUGCCCAUAUUUGAAUUAAACAAUCACAGUCAAGUUAUUCAUAUCACCAACAUAUAUUCACAAUCAAAUCCGUCAACCACACAGUCCAAGUCAGUCACUUGCCCACAAGGGCAAAACAGUCAUUUUCCACAUUAUAAGGGUAUUUUUGUAAUUUUACCAAAUAUCAGGGUUUUCCAUGUUCAUUACAAUUAUCAAUAUUUCCAAGUGUUUAAACAAUGAUCUUUAACCCACUUUAUCAAAUUCGGGCUUUUGGGCCCAAAACCCCUAAUAGGCCCCACGAAUGUUGAUUUAGCCUACUUAACCCAAAUUUUACAACAAUACUAACCGUGUUAACGUGCAACUUUUCCAAAUUCCAUUUUCUAUAAAUUCUACCCAAAUGGGUUCGAAAGCCCAUUGGGCCCAAUUUUAGCCCAUUGAGGCCCAAUUUACCAUCGUGCACAAAAUUGAGUUCUUACCUGUUCCAUCGAUCCAAACACCGAUCUUAUCGUAUUUAUUGCAUCUAUACCCAAACGCAACAUUACAAGUUCCCGAAAUACCGGUAUUUUAGCAUUUCGGCUUCUCAGCAAAUAUUAAUCUAAGCUAUUACGAGGGUUAGUACACACCUGUUACGGGUUGAAGUUGAAACGUUUCCAAAAUCAAUCGCCUACGAUAACCACCACCUGUCACUCAAACUUAACUAAUCCAAUAUCAAUAUAUGUAAAUCCUAAGCACAUCAGUCAUACGGAACAUAAGGGUAUAUUCAUUAUUUUACCAUAUAGGGGUAUUACGGUCACUUUACCCUACAGGGGCUUUACGGUCUUUUUACCUAAUAGGGAUAUUUUAGUCAUUUCAUCCUACCAGGGUGUUUUGGUAAAUCUACAAACUAAGGGUAUUUCAGUAAUUUUGUAAACUAAUGGUAUUUCUAUAAUUUUUAGAAAGUCAAGGGUAUUUUUGUAACUUUGUAAAUCAGGGGUAUUUUGGUAAUUUUACAAAUUGAGGGUAUUUCGGUAAUUUCACAAACCAGUGGUAUUUUGGUAAUUUUACAAACUAGGGGUAUUUUGGUAAUUUUACAAGUCGAAGGUAUUUCAGUAAUUUUACAAAUCGAGGGUAUUUCAGUAUUUUUACAAACUAAGGGUAUUUCGGUAAUUUUAGUAAACUAAAAUAUUCUAAACAGGGAUAACAAUACGAAUGGGCCUAAAGCCUAUUCUCGACCCAAAUGGGCCCACACGCUCGUGUGGCCCUUUUAGCCCAAAUCUAGCCACAAAUAUGAAAUUCACCUAGCCUAGUCCAAUAUUUACUACACAAUCAAACAACUUAUCCAAUUGGGCCCGUAGGCCCAUUGGGCCCACAUGACCCCUUUUGGCCUAUCGCGGCCCGAAGUAGCCAUCCUACAGCUAGAGUAGCGAGAAAAUACACACCUGAUAGGAGACUAGAGUUAAUCCACGCUCCGAGCACUCUUAGCCGACGCCCAACCCAAACGAGCACGCCAUAAAGCGAAAGGGAUC
RNAcentral lists this long non-coding RNA (2330 nucleotides) under Gossypium barbadense (sea-island cotton). Its description in RNAcentral is "long non-coding RNA (GBAR_LNC010356)". The record is from RNAcentral. Lineage: Eukaryota; Viridiplantae; Streptophyta; Magnoliopsida; Malvales; Malvaceae.